RNAcentral lists this ribosomal RNA (253 nucleotides) under uncultured bacterium. Its description in RNAcentral is "partial 16S ribosomal RNA". It matches the Rfam family "Bacterial small subunit ribosomal RNA", at positions 524 to 776 of the family's 1533-position model. The record is from RNAcentral.
UACAGAGGGUGCGAGCGUUGUUCGGAAUUAUUGGGCGUAAAGAGCUUGUAGGCGGUUUGUCGCGUCUGCUGUGAAAUCUCAAGGCUCAACCUUGAGCUUGCAGUGGGUACGGGCAGACUAGAGUGUGGUAGGGGAGACUGGAAUUCCUGGUGUAGCGGUGAAAUGCGCAGAUAUCAGGAAGAACACCCGUGGCGAAGGCGGCUCUCUGGGACGGUACUGACGCUGAGACGCGAAAGCGUGGGGAGCGAACAGG